RNAcentral lists this ribosomal RNA (428 nucleotides) under uncultured bacterium Oim30. RNAcentral's name for it is "bacterial SSU rRNA". It matches the Rfam family "Bacterial small subunit ribosomal RNA", at positions 1 to 575 of the family's 1533-position model. The record is from RNAcentral.
UUGGAGAGUUUGAUCCUGGCUUAGAUUGAACGCUGGCGGCAGGCCUAACACAUGCAAGUCGAGCGGUAACAGGAAGGAAGCUUGCUUUCUUUGCUGACGAGCGGCGGACGGGUGAGUAAUGCCUGGGAAAUUGCCCUGAUGUGGGGGAUAACCAUUGGAAACGAUGGCUAAUACCGCAUGAUGCCUACGGGAGGCAGCAGUGGGGAAUAUUGCACAAUGGGCGCAAGCCUGAUGCAGCCAUGCCGCGUGUAUGAAGAAGGCCUUCGGGUUGUAAAGUACUUUCAGUCGUGAGGAAGGGGGUAUCGUUAAUAGCGGUAUUCUUUGACGUUAGCGACAGAAGAAGCACCGGCUAACUCCGUGCCAGCAGCCGCGGUAAUACGGAGGGUGCGAGCGUUAAUCGGAAUUACUGGGCGUAAAGCGCACGCAGG